CGGGGUGCAGCAGGCGCGAAAACUCCACAAUGUACGGAAGUACGAUGGGGUUAUCUCGAGUGCAGUCCGAUAAGGGCUGCUUUUCCAUAGAGUAAUAUCCUGUGGGAAUAAGAGGGGGGCAAGACUGGUGUCAGCCGCCGCGGUAACACCAGCCCCUCGAGUGGUGGGGACUAUUAUUUGGCCUAAAGCGUCCGUAGCUGGCUGUAUCCGUCCCCCGUUAAAUCCAGCGUCCUAAGCGUUGGACUGCGGGUGAUACCAUACAGCUAGAGGGUGGGAUAGGUGAGCGGUAUUUCUGGGGUAGGGGCGAAAUCCUUUGAUCCCAGGAGGACCACCAGUGGCGAAGGCUGCUCACUAGAACACGCCUGACGGUCAGGGACGAAAGCUGGGGCAGCGAACCGGAUUAGAUACCCGGGUAGUCCCAGCUGUAAACGAUGCUAGCUAGGUGUUGGGUCGGCCACGUGCCGCCCCAGUGCCGCAGGGAAGCCGUUAAGCUAGCCGCCUGGGGAGUACGGCCGCAAGGCUGAAACUUAAAGGAAUUGGCGGG
RNAcentral lists this ribosomal RNA (544 nucleotides) under uncultured archaeon. RNAcentral describes it as "bacterial SSU rRNA". It matches the Rfam family "Archaeal small subunit ribosomal RNA", at positions 326 to 872 of the family's 1478-position model. The record is from RNAcentral.